CAGUCGCCGCGGUAAUACGUAGGGUGCGAGCGUUAAUCGGAAUUACUGGGCGUAAAGCGUGCGCAGGCGGUUCGUUAAGACAGAUGUGAAAUCCCCGGGCUUAACCUGGGAACUGCAUUUGUGACUGGCGAGCUAGAGUAUGGCAGAGGGGGGUAGAAUUCCACGUAUAGCAGUGAAAUGCGUAGAGAUGUGGAGGAACACCGAUGGCGAAGGCAGCCCCCUGGGCCAAUACUGACGCUCAUGCACGAAAGCGUGGGGAGCAAACAGGAUUAGAUACCCGGGUAGUCCCUGUCUCUUAUAC
RNAcentral lists this ribosomal RNA (301 nucleotides) under uncultured bacterium. RNAcentral's name for it is "partial 16S ribosomal RNA". It matches the Rfam family "Bacterial small subunit ribosomal RNA", at positions 509 to 807 of the family's 1533-position model. The record is from RNAcentral.